GAGUUUUCCUGGGUUUUUUAUAUAUUUUCUUAGACAUGCAAAUAGUAAUUCUUGCUGAUCAUGUUCAUUGAUACAUUGAAACUGAUUAGAUAUUAGAUUAUUGAAAAAUAAUUGUAAGAGGCAAAAAACAUUUUUUUAAACCACUUUCAUUCCAGUAAAAAUACACCACUGGCAUUGCGUAAAUCAAAACUGUGGAAAAGCAAACCGGAAAUUUAUUUGAGUGUCUUCGAAUUUUGCACUGGCAGGAGGUUAAGGAUGCAGUCAAGUGCAAAAGACCAACCGGCCAGGUCUAUUUCGGCCACCCAAGCACCACUGGGUCAGCAGUUGUUGUAUCUGGAAACUUCCGGUUCGUCACUCCUAUUUAACGCUGUGGUUCAGAGCUUCGAGUGGAGGAGGAUGUAGAAACAAUGUGCAGUCAUUGAGCGCAAAUGUGCCAAAUAAUGACUUGCAGGCGAGCGAGUGCAAUUUAUAUGAUAAGCAACAAAAAUAAAUGGCAAGCAAUUCAUUUUA
Drosophila ficusphila is the source of this 510-nucleotide long non-coding RNA. RefSeq lists it as uncharacterized. The record is from RefSeq and is a predicted model, not a curated record. The transcript is spliced from 2 exons. Lineage: Eukaryota; Metazoa; Arthropoda; Insecta; Diptera; Drosophilidae.